GUCUAUGGCCAUAAGACCCUGAACAUGCCCAAUCUCAUCUGAUCAUGAAAGCUAAGCAGGGUCGGGCCUGCUUAGUACUUGGAUGGGAAUAUACUGUAUGAUUAAGAAAUACUUGCACAACAAAAA
Molecule: ribosomal RNA, 126 nt
Filed under: Nannospalax galili (Upper Galilee mountains blind mole rat)
Lineage: Eukaryota; Metazoa; Chordata; Mammalia; Rodentia; Spalacidae
Source: RNAcentral